Molecule: RNA transcript, 2973 nt
Organism: Ostrea edulis (European flat oyster)
Lineage: Eukaryota; Metazoa; Mollusca; Bivalvia; Ostreida; Ostreidae
Exons: 5
Source: RefSeq, a predicted model, not a curated record
CUACAUUGCGAUUGCCACUUAGUCGCCCUUAUCCGUUUUAUGAGAACAAGGCGAUUGGAGUUAAAGCCCUUCUCGUGGAGUACGGAACCUUCCUGUCAAAACCCUCUUAAUUUAAAAGACUUGUUGUUGAAGGACAUUUCACUUCAAGAAGUAGUUUGUGAUUCAGGGAAUGCGACAGAUCAAGUCUACACAGUAGAUGUGACGCCUCUAAACUCAAGGCCCAAAGCAGGAAAUAAUUAUACAUCUCUUUGUAACAUUUCGGGCAACGGGGUACUGGACAUCAUCACAAAUUUAAAGGUGAAGUGGUACCACAAUUCAAAGCUGCUGACCAGUCAGUGUACCUUGGAGGAUGUGUCAAAGGCGGAGAAGUAUUCGUGUGAGGUACUCACCCCUCAAGAGAAUAGCAUCAGUUUAGAGAUGACAGUGAUGGAUAUACAAAAAGAUGAUGUUGGGAUUUUAACCUGUGAAUUGACUCAGCAGGUGAAGGAGAACGGGCUACGGAAAGACGAUUUGUUAGAAUAUGAGUCAGUGGUAAUCCAAAUCAGAGGUAUAUGUAGAGGAAGAAGACCAUGCGUAGAAGUCAAUGUAUAUGUAGAUAUUGUCCUGACUUCAAUGAAUGUAACGUGAAGAUAACGAACAGUGAUCAAUCUCACAACCCCUUUUAUGAACGCAAAAUAAGAAGUUGAAGAAACGCGGAUCAUGGACGUACCAGAAGUGAGAUCGGGUGUCUUUGAGGCGGAAUCAUUCUCUGUCGACCGACCACACCCGCCGUUAACCCGAUAUCUUAAUCAAGUAAACAUUUUCCGUACGCAAAAUAACAUUUUUUAUGAAACAUGUUACACAGCAUUUGAUGCAAUGUUAGGUUGGUGAAAUAUCAAUAGGAGUUAAACGUUUAGAAUUAAUAAGAGGGGUUGUUUGCUCUUCCUACGCACCUCUUCAAACUUCUGGUGUGUCCAGGUGUUCGUAUUUGACCUGUUCUUAAUUUUAAACGCUUUAUUUAAUUUUUGAGAUUGAUUAUUCUUCGUUGCCUUCAAUUCAACACUUGAUCAGGCAAAUAACUAUCAUGUAUCUACAGUUUUUGUCAUUGUAUAAGACACUAGGGUUGGUUUUUCAAAUAACAAUUUGCCGUAUACGUCUAAACACGUGAUGCAUGCAUUCAUGACACAAUAUACAUGUAUCUUGACACUGUGAUAUUGGAAGCCUCGAAUUGAAACACCUUUUGCAAGAAGAAUUCCAAUCCAGCAGGUAAACCUCAUGUAUAGAGAUUGGAUUUGUGUCGAAUUUCUAUAUUCCCCAUGCCAUCUGAAGUAAGUUUGUUACUUUAUUUAUUUUGUCUUUGGUAAAUAUUAUGAAUUGCCCGAAACAUGCAUGUAUGCGGACUUUUCUAUUGUUAAACAUUGUUUCACAGAUGCCACAAGUUGGGAUCUAUGUUGAGACGAUUUUGAAUUUCAGUUUGCACGUGACAUAAAUUAUUAAGAAUUGCAGACCAGAGGAUACACCUUUGACGAUAUAUAAUCAGACGGAUAUUGUUUGUUGUGUCGCUCAUGUUAUGAAUAAAGUGAUGGAAUGACGUGAAAACAAUCAUAUUUUAUGUCAACGAAGUAGUUAACCAUUCUCAGCUGGUAAUUCGAGUCAGCUGAUCUUUGCUUAACGCUGAUGAAUUGCAAAGUUGUGUUUUGAGAAGGAAAACAAAUAAUUUACAUUUAGGCAUACCAUUUACAUCACCGAUUGCUUAAUAGGCAAGAUGUCCCAAUGUCAUAAAAAACACGAUAUCCUUGUAUAUUUCAAAUGUAUAUCCGUAGUGUAGCAUAAUUCAGCGAAUAGCAAAGGCCAUGACUGUAUUUUUAAUUGGUGUUUUUAAAUAUAUCAAAAGAACGCAUUGUAUAAAAAUAAAAAGUGAUAAAUGAGAACCGCUCAGGUGUCGUGCUGAAAUAAAUCCAUGGAAGAUCCAUCGAUGGACUGUUGCAUAUACAACGUAAGAGACAUGUUUCCCUGUUUUCAACACUGGUGGGCAUUUAUAUUGAUAUAUUCAACAUUAGUAAGUAUUUAUAUUCCUAUUGUCAACGCUGGUGAGUAUAGAUUUGUGUUUUCUCAUAUAAUAAACUAAUAUAAAACAAACCAACCAGAACGUGCAUCGCUAUAUACAAGUUAUAUGUUUACUCGGAAGGUACAAACUCUACAUUUAUUUGGUAUUUACAAGUUUUACGUUUUAUUAGUGUCUAUAAGGUGUAAAUUUACUCGGUAAGUAUGAUGCAUACACCUGCUUGAUAUUUACAAGCUAUACAUGUACUUGGUAUUUACAAGUUAUACGUUUAUUUGAUAUACGCGUAUGUCUUGCUUUCGCAGCGAACGGGGGAUCGAAAAAUGAAUAACAUUAUUUUCAUGUUUACUGAGCUGAUUAUAAUGAUGAUAAUCACAAACAUGGAGCAUGGUAAGUAUUCAAUGUUUCAUUCAUUCUUUCUAUCAUUGUAUUUCUACAUUUCAAGAGAUCAGAAUUACGCCUGUCUCUUUGACGGCUCGACAAGGAUAUGAUCUGCGUGUGGACAGGUUUUUGGAGAUCACGGUCAGAUGCUGACAAGCUGGUUUUGCCUGGAUUUUGACACUUUCCUUCGAGAUUGGCAUUUCGCAACUUCCAUGGCCGUUAUGAUUAUCCCGCUUACCUGAUCAAAACAGAUGGUUCAUGGAGGGAUUAACCGAUCGACAACAAAUGUUGCCACCUCCUAGACAACUGAUCCCACCCCCAUUGAUUUGAAUGGUUUAUGUUUGUCAUAUUCUCAAUGUUAUGUUCUUUGUAGGACUUUUGAGAUUGAUCACGGUUCGUUAUCUCCAGUAUCCCUAGAAGAACUGAUCAGUAUGAGCCCAGGACACUGAACAUACUGUAGCUCUAAAUCUUAAUUCCAACGUGUUCAAUGUUGACCAGGACUUGAAUUGCUUUCAACACACUGAUCUCAUAUGAUUUCAUGAAAUGUGAGU